RNAcentral lists this ribosomal RNA (555 nucleotides) under Bifidobacterium adolescentis. RNAcentral's name for it is "bacterial SSU rRNA". It matches the Rfam family "Bacterial small subunit ribosomal RNA", at positions 146 to 711 of the family's 1533-position model. Lineage: Bacteria; Bacillati; Actinomycetota; Actinomycetes; Bifidobacteriales; Bifidobacteriaceae. The record is from RNAcentral.
UCUCCUGGAAAACGGGUGGUAAUGCCGGAUGCUCCAGUUGGAUGCAUGUCCUUCUGGGAAAGAUUCAUCGGUAUGGGAUGGGGUCGCGUCCUAUCAGCUUGAUGGCGGGGUAACGGCCCACCAUGGCUUCGACGGGUAGCCGGCCUGAGAGGGCGACCGGCCACAUUGGGACUGAGAUACGGCCCAGACUCCUACGGGAGGCAGCAGUGGGGAAUAUUGCACAAUGGGCGCAAGCCUGAUGCAGCGACGCCGCGUGCGGGAUGACGGCCUUCGGGUUGUAAACCGCUUUUGACUGGGAGCAAGCCCUUCGGGGUGAGUGUACCUUUCGAAUAAGCACCGGCUAACUACGUGCCAGCAGCCGCGGUAAUACGUAGGGUGCAAGCGUUAUCCGGAAUUAUUGGGCGUAAAGGGCUCGUAGGCGGUUCGUCGCGUCCGGUGUGAAAGUCCAUCGCUUAACGGUGGAUCCGCGCCGGGUACGGGCGGGCUUGAGUGCGGUAGGGGAGACUGGAAUUCCCGGUGUAACGGUGGAAUGUGUAGAUAUCGGGAAGAACACCA